UGCAGAAUCCCGUGAACCAUCGAGUCUUUGAACGCAAGUUGCGCCCGGAGCCUCAGCCGAGGGCACGCCUGCUUGGGCGUC
RNAcentral lists this ribosomal RNA (81 nucleotides) under Alisma plantago-aquatica. Its description in RNAcentral is "partial 5.8S ribosomal RNA". It matches the Rfam family "5.8S ribosomal RNA", at positions 73 to 153 of the family's 154-position model. From Rfam's summary of the family: 5.8S ribosomal RNA (5.8S rRNA) is a component of the large subunit of the eukaryotic ribosome. The record is from RNAcentral. Lineage: Eukaryota; Viridiplantae; Streptophyta; Magnoliopsida; Alismatales; Alismataceae.